Lysinibacillus sp. F5 is the source of this 78-nucleotide non-coding RNA. The record is from Rfam. NCBI's taxonomy places the organism in Bacteria, Bacillati, Bacillota, Bacilli, Caryophanales, Bacillaceae.
GUGCUACUACAACCGCUCUGGAAAGGUUUAAGUAUCUAAUAAGAUCACCUUUUAAAACAGGCGAGUCUGAGUCUAAGA